RNAcentral lists this ribosomal RNA (237 nucleotides) under uncultured bacterium. RNAcentral describes it as "partial 16S ribosomal RNA". It matches the Rfam family "Bacterial small subunit ribosomal RNA", at positions 118 to 347 of the family's 1533-position model. The record is from RNAcentral.
UGGGGAACAUGACCUUCGGCGGGGGAUAGCCGGCCCAACGGCCUGGUAAUACCGCGUACGACCACUUUGGGACAUCCCUCGGUGGUGAAAGCAGCAAUGCGCCGAUGGAGUGCCUCGCGGCCUAUCAGCUAGUUGGUGAGGUAACGGCUCACCAAGGCGACGACGGGUAGCUGGUCUGAGAGGAUGGCCAGCCACAGUUGGGACUGAGACACGGCCCAGACCUCCGUACGGGAGCAG